UAGGGGAUUGACCCAGAUCUGCUAGAGUAUUAUCAGAGUAGAGCUGAUGUUUUCUUGAUGGACCUGAGUUCUUCCCUCCUCGGGAGAAUUGGUGCAGACACCAUCACUAGUGAUGACUUAUCGGAGCCAACUUAGACAUAUGGAUGACAUCAGAGUAUCAGAUCGACAUCUAUUUGCUUAAUUAAUUAAAUUAGAUCUUGAUUUAGUUCUUUAUUUCUUAUAUUUUGAGUUUUAGUUAUGUGGUCUUGUAAA
RNAcentral lists this long non-coding RNA (252 nucleotides) under Elaeis guineensis (African oil palm). RNAcentral describes it as "long non-coding RNA (EGUI_LNC064103)". Lineage: Eukaryota; Viridiplantae; Streptophyta; Magnoliopsida; Arecales; Arecaceae. The record is from RNAcentral.